GUCUGAGAGGAUGGUCAGCCACACUGGGACUGAGACACUGCCCAGACUCCUACGGGAGGCUGCAGUCGAGGAUCAUUUACAAUGCGCGAAAGCGUGAUAAUGCGACGCUGCGUGGAGGAUGACGGCCUUCGGGUUGUAAACUCCUGUCAUGAGGGAAAAAUUGCGCGUGUGUUAAUAGCAUAUGUGUUUGAUGGUACCUCAAGAGGAAGCCACGGCUAACUUCGUGCCAGCAGCCGCGGUAAUACGAAGGUGGCAAGCGUUGUUCGGAUUUACUGGGCGUAAAGCGUGCGUAGGUGGUUCCGUGUGUCGGGUGUGAAAGCCCACGGCUCAACCGUGGAAUGCCAUUCGAAACUGCGGAACUUGAGUGCAGGAUGGGAGAGCGGAAUUCUUGGUGUAGCGGUGAAAUGCGUUGAUAUCAAGAAGAACACCGGUGGCGAAGGCGGCUCUCUGGAAUGCAACUGACACUGAGGCACGAAAGCUGGGGGAGCAAACAGGAUUAGAUACCCUGGUAGUCCCAGCUGUAAACGGUGCGCACUUGGUGUUGGGGGUAUUGACCCCCCCAGUGCCGGAGCUAACGCAUUAAGUGCGCCGCCUGGGGAGUACGGCCGCAAGGUUAAAACUCAAAGAAAUUGACGGGGGCCCGCACAAGCGGAGGAGCAUGUGGCUUAAUUCGAUGCAACGCGAAGAACCUUACCAGGGCUUGACAUGCAGCUGCACGUCCCGUGAAAGCGGGAUUCCUUCGAGGGUGCUGCACAGGUGCUGCAUGGCUGUCGUCAGUUCGUGCCGUGAGGUGUUGGGUUAAGUCCCGCAACGAACGCAACCCCUGUGGUUAGUUGCCACCGCCGGUGAUGAGCCGGCGAGCACUCUAGUCAGACUGCCCGUACAAACGGGAGGAAGGUGGGGACGACGUCAAGUCAGUAUGGCCCUUACGCCCUGGGCUGCACACGUGCUACAAUGGCAGGUAUAGUUGGAAGCAAUACCGCGAGGUGGAGCAAAUCCUUAAAACCUGCCUCAGUUCGGAUUGGAGUCUGAAACUCGACUCCAUGAAGUUGGAUUCGCUAGUAAAGGCGUAUCAGCUACGACGCCUUGAAUACGUUCCCGGGCCUUGUACACACCGCCCGUCACAUCAUGAAAGCCGUCUGCACCCGAAGUCGCUGAGCCAACCCGCAAGGGAGGCAGGUUCCGAAGGUGUGGGUGGUGAUUGGGAUGAAGUCGUAACAAGGUA
Molecule: ribosomal RNA, 1225 nt
Filed under: metagenome
Description: bacterial SSU rRNA
Rfam family: Bacterial small subunit ribosomal RNA
Source: RNAcentral